UACGGGGGGGGGCAAGCGUUGUUCGGAAUUACUGGGCGUAAAGGGCCAGUAGGCGGCCAACUAAGUCGGAUGUGAAAUCCCCAGGCUCAACUUGGGAACUGCAUCCGAUACUGGAUGGCUUGAAUUCGGGAGAGGGAUGCAGAAUUCCAGGUGUAGCGGUGAAAUGCGUAGAUAUUGGGAGGAACACCAGUGGCGAAGGCGGCUCACUGGACCGGAACUGACGCUGAGGAGCGAAAGCGUGGGGAGCGAACAGG
RNAcentral lists this ribosomal RNA (254 nucleotides) under uncultured bacterium. RNAcentral describes it as "partial 16S ribosomal RNA". It matches the Rfam family "Bacterial small subunit ribosomal RNA", at positions 524 to 776 of the family's 1533-position model. The record is from RNAcentral.